RNAcentral lists this unclassified non-coding RNA (349 nucleotides) under soil metagenome. RNAcentral describes it as "partial contains 5.8S ribosomal RNA, internal transcribed spacer 2, and large subunit ribosomal RNA". The stretch from base 1 to 120 matches the Rfam family "5.8S ribosomal RNA", at positions 35 to 154 of the family's 154-position model. The record is from RNAcentral.
GAUGAAGAACGUAGCGAAAUGCGAUACGUAAUGUGAAUUGCAGAAUUCAGUGAAUCAUCGAGUCUUUGAACGCACAUUGCGCCCCCUGGUAUUCCGGGGGGCAUGCCUGUCCGAGCGUCAUUGCUGCCCUCAAGCACGGCUUGUGUGUUGGGCCUCCGCCCCCCGGCUCCCGGGGGGCGGGCCCGAAAGGCAGCGGCGGCACCGCGUCCGGUCCUCGAGCGUAUGGGGCUUCGUCACCCGCUCCGCAGGCCCGGCCGGCGCCCGCCGGCGACCCCCCUCAAUCUUUCCAGGUUGACCUCGGAUCAGGUAGGGAUACCCGCUGAACUUAAGCAUAUCAAUAAGCGGAGGA